CAGCAGCCGCGGUAAUACGGAGGGUGCAAGCGUUAAUCGGAAUUACUGGGCGUAAAGCGCACCCAGGCGGUCUGACAAGUCAGAUGUGAAAUCCCCGGGCUUAACCUGGGAACUGCAUUUGAAACUGUCAGGCUGGAGUCUUGUAGAGGGGGGUGGAAUUCCAGGUGUAGCGGUGAAAUGCGUAGAGAUCUGGAGGAAUACCGGUGGCGAAGGCGGCCCCCUGGACAAAGACUGACGCUCAGGUGCGAAAGCGUGGGGAGCGAACAGGACUAGAUACCCGCGUAGUCCCUGUCUCUUAUAC
This 301-nucleotide ribosomal RNA is filed under the name uncultured bacterium. RNAcentral describes it as "partial 16S ribosomal RNA". It matches the Rfam family "Bacterial small subunit ribosomal RNA", at positions 509 to 807 of the family's 1533-position model. The record is from RNAcentral.